This 520-nucleotide ribosomal RNA is filed under the name uncultured Glomus. RNAcentral's name for it is "SSU rRNA". It matches the Rfam family "Eukaryotic small subunit ribosomal RNA", at positions 569 to 1090 of the family's 1831-position model. Lineage: Eukaryota; Fungi; Glomeromycota; Glomeromycetes; Glomerales; Glomeraceae. The record is from RNAcentral.
AGCAGCCGCGGUAAUUCCAGCUCCAAUAGCGUAUAUUAAAGUUGUUGCAGUUAAAAAGCUCGUAGUUGAAUUUCGGGGUUAGUAGGUUGGUCAUGCCUCUGGUAUGUACUGGUCUCACUGAUUCCUCCUUCCUGAUGAACCUUAAUGCCAUUAAUUUGGUGUUUUGGGGAAUUUGGACUGUUACUUUGAAAAAAUUAGAGUGUUUAAAGCAAGCUAACGCUUGAAUACAUUAGCAUGGAAUAAUGAAAUAGGACGUUCGAUCCUAUUUUGUUGGUUUCUAGGAUUGACGUAAUGAUUAAUAGGGAUAGUUGGGGGCAUUAGUAUUCAAUUGUCAGAGGUGAAAUUCUUGGAUUUAUUGAAGACUAACUACUGCGAAAGCAUUUGCCAAGGAUGUUCUCAUUAAUCAAGAACGAAAGUUAGGGGAUCGAAGACGAUCAGAUACCGUCGUAGUCUUAACCAUAAACUAUGCCGACUAGGGAUCGGAUGAUGUUAAUUUUUUAAUGACUCAUUCGGCGCCUUA